RNAcentral lists this long non-coding RNA (1127 nucleotides) under Lepisosteus oculatus (spotted gar). RNAcentral describes it as "lncRNA (ENSLOCG00000022118.1)". Lineage: Eukaryota; Metazoa; Chordata; Actinopteri; Semionotiformes; Lepisosteidae. The record is from RNAcentral.
UUCAGUACAGUUCAAACAUGGAGAUUAUGAAGACUCUGCUUUUUAUUUCCCUCUUAGUGGCAACAGCCUCUUCGCUUUCAAUGUACAAGUGGCAGGCAGAAAGGCUACUGAGGCAAGCAGCACGUUCUCAAAGCAGUUCAGAAUCUGGAUCAGAAUCUGAAGACAGCUCCUCCUCUGAAGAAAUCCUGCUGAGGAGGACAACCACCAAAGCUACAACUACAACUACCACUACAGCUACGACCACCACCACGCCAAGCGUCACAAGUUGUUUCACUACAGACAUUGGACUUGGAAGCCAGACCACAGGCAUGGUCCAGACAACGGACAACAGAGGAGAUAGUUAAUGUUUUGGCUUAGAUGAAAAGAUUUUUUGAUACCACAACUGGAUGUUGUUUUCAUUUUCAUCUCUUUGUCUUAAUAACUUGAUUGUGUUUACUUAAUCAGUUCUAGCUUCUAAAGGUUAUUUGUUAUUAAUUCAUCAGAUAUGAUUCACAAAUGCAAACUCACAGAGAGGACAGGUGGACAAGCCCUUAGUAAAGAAGUUGGUAUCCUAUUAAAGCAUGAAAUGAGUCGGUUUUAAGCAGCAGCUCCUCUAAACUGCAGAUCAAGCAGAGAAGUGAGAAGUUAAUAACUGUGAGUUUGCUUCUGUCUGGUACCUAAAUUUAAUUUCCAUUUUAUAUUGAAAAAAUACCUUAAUCCAAUUUUUACCCGUACUCUUCUUUAUUGAAAUUUUCAUGUAACCAAAAAUAAUAAAAAGCAUUUAUUUAACUAUAUGCCUAAAUACAGACUUAUGGUUUUCUGCAUGCAUACAACUGUGAUACACAGGACAUACUAUAUGAAAAGGAAGAUACAGUAUGGUUGGAUUAUAUUUCAGGCCUUUGUUGCUAAUCAGAGUGAUCACAAGGUUUUUGAAAUGGUUUUAUAAACCUUGAAAAAUCAAAGUGUGAUUUAUAUAAAACAUUAAUAGGUUAACAGUUGAUUUUAUGGGCAGUAAUGGAAUCCCCUAAGCACCGCUGUCAUUUGUAUGAAUAUUAAUCAUCUCUAUAGAAGUCUGAACAGAAAACAAUUUCACAGUAUUCAGCAUUUAUUAUCUAUAUGCAGAUUUUUAGGGUCUUUGAGACCCAAAC